Molecule: long non-coding RNA, 246 nt
Filed under: Populus trichocarpa (black cottonwood)
Lineage: Eukaryota; Viridiplantae; Streptophyta; Magnoliopsida; Malpighiales; Salicaceae
Description: long non-coding RNA (PTRI_LNC004551)
Source: RNAcentral
UGUUGGCUUGAAGAUCAUUUUCCAAGCUUGGAAGUUUUAUUCAAUGCUCUUUGAAAUCUUUUCCAUCCGCUUUUAUAUUGGACAACCUCGUUGUUAAUUAUUAUCCAUGAUGUAAUUUAUAUUUUCAAGUUACAAAUUUUGAUGAAUAUUGUUUUAUUUUUUUCCUCACUUCAAAAGAUGAAAAUCCUUGAUGUUAGUUAGAAAUAAAUUGGUUUUCUAGGAAGAGAUUAUUGAUUGGGAUAUAGU